RNAcentral lists this ribosomal RNA (520 nucleotides) under fungal sp. E14908H. RNAcentral describes it as "eukaryotic LSU rRNA". The stretch from base 181 to 334 matches the Rfam family "5.8S ribosomal RNA". Lineage: Eukaryota; Fungi. The record is from RNAcentral.
CAUUAUCUAUCAAAAAAGUCGGUCGCAAGGUGCGAGGCAUGAAAUACUGCCCCGGAUCAUCUUGGACGUCUGGACCCUUUGUCUUUGCGUACUGUAUGUUUCCUCGGUGGGUUCGCCCGCCGAUAGGACAUUUAAACCCUUUGUAGUUGCAAUCAGCGUCAGAAAAACUAUAAUAGUUACAACUUUCAACAACGGAUCUCUUGGUUCUGGCAUCGAUGAAGAACGCAGCGAAAUGCGAAAAGUAGUGUGAAUUGCAGAAUUCAGUGAAUCAUCGAAUCUUUGAACGCACAUUGCGCCCCUUGGUAUUCCAUGGGGCAUGCCUGUUCGAGCGUCAUUUGUACCCUCAAGCUCUGCUUGGUGUUGGGUGUUUGUCCCGCCUUACGCGUGGACUCGCCUUAAAGUGAUUGGCAGCCGGAAUAAAUCUGGGGAACGCAGCACAACUGCAGCCUCUAGAAUUAUACGCCGAGCGUCCAGUAAGCCUUUUAUUAUUGCGUUUGACCUCGGAUCAGGUAGGGAUACC